CUUUUUUCUUUUUUCACUUUAUCACACUAAUUCAACAUGCGUGAAAUCGUUCAUAUUCA
RNAcentral lists this non-coding RNA (59 nucleotides) under uncultured Fragilariaceae. The record is from RNAcentral. Lineage: Eukaryota; Bacillariophyta; Fragilariophyceae; Fragilariales; Fragilariaceae.